GGGAGAUGAGUUUCGGGGUCGAAAGGGAAACAGCCCAGAUCAUCGGCUAAGGUCCUCAAAUCUAUGCUAAGUGGUGAACGAGGUGAGGUUACUUAAACAACCAGGAGGUUGGCUUAGAAGCAGCCACCCUUUAAAAAGUGCGUAACAGCUUACUGGUCUAGUGACCUUGCGCGGAAAACUUAACGGGGCUAAGCAUAGUACCGAAGCCAUGGGUCUCAACAUUUGUUGGGGCAGUAGGGGAGCGUUCUGUCAGCGGUGAAGGUCGAUCGUAAGGGCGACUGGAGCGGACAGAAGUGAGAAUGCAGGCAUGAGUAGCGUACAAAUACGUGAGAACCGUAUUCGCCGUAAAUCUAAGGUUUCCGACGCCAGGUCAUUCCGCGUCGGGUUAGUCGAGUCCUUAGUCGAGGCCGAGAGGCGUAGAUGAUGGACAUCCGGUUAAUAUUCCGGAACCACUAGAGAGUGCGAUGGGAGGACGCAACGAGGUAGGCCAGCCCAUUAUUGGAUUUGGGUUCGAUCCAUCUAGGUGUUGAGACUGGUAGGUAAAUCCGCCAGUUGAGCUGAGGUGGGAGCGGGCCGUAAGGCGAAGUGGCUGAGCCUUGUUGCCAAGAAAAGUCUCUAAGCAUAACUCUCUAGUGCUCGUACCGCAAACCGACACUGGUAGACGGGUAGAAUAUACCAAGGCGAACGGGAGAACCCUCGUUAAGGAAUUAGGCAACAUGACCCCGUAACUUCGGGAGAAGGGGUACCCCCUAGGGUGUUAAAGCCCUGGAGGGUCGCAGUGAAAUGGCUCUGGUGACUGGUUAACAAAACCACAGGUCUCUGCUAAGCCGUAAGGCGAUGUAUAGGGGCUGACGCGUGCCCAGUGCCGGAAGGUUAAAGGGAGAGGUUAGCGCAAGCGAAGCUUUGAACUGAAGCCCCGGUGAACGGCGGCCGUAACUAUAACGGUCCUAAGGUAGCGAAAUUCCUUGUCGGGUAAGUUCCGACCCGCACGAACCGCGUAACAAUUAGAGCACUGUCUCGACGAGGGACCCGGUGAAAUUGAAAUGGCUGUGAAGAUGCGGCCUACCCGCAGCAGGACAAAAAGACCCCGUGGAGCUUUACUGCAACUUGGCAUUGUAUUUGGACAUAAUCUGUGUAGCAUAGGUGGGAGGCUUUGAAGCUGGCGCGUCAGCGUCGGUGGAGCCACCAGUGAAAUACCACCCUGAUUAUGUUUAGAUCCUAACCCCAUUCCGU
Molecule: ribosomal RNA, 1233 nt
Filed under: activated sludge metagenome
Description: bacterial LSU rRNA
Rfam family: Bacterial large subunit ribosomal RNA
Source: RNAcentral